Molecule: ribosomal RNA, 254 nt
Filed under: uncultured bacterium
Lineage: Bacteria
Description: partial 16S ribosomal RNA
Rfam family: Bacterial small subunit ribosomal RNA
Source: RNAcentral
UACGUAGGGCGCAAGCGUUGUCCGGAAUUAUUGGGCGUAAAGAGCUCGUAGGCGGCUUGUCACGUCGGGUGUGAAAGCCCGGGGCUUAACCCCGGGAUCUGCAUUCGAUACGGGCUAGCUAGAGUGUGGUAGGGGAGAUCGGAAUUCCUGGUGUAGCGGUGAAAUGCGCAGAUAUCAGGAGGAACACCGGUGGCGAAGGCGGAUCUCUGGGCCAUUACUGACGCUGAGGAGCGAAAGCAUGGGGAGCAAACAGG